This 253-nucleotide ribosomal RNA is filed under the name uncultured bacterium. RNAcentral describes it as "partial 16S ribosomal RNA". It matches the Rfam family "Bacterial small subunit ribosomal RNA", at positions 524 to 776 of the family's 1533-position model. The record is from RNAcentral.
UACGUAGGGUGCAAGCGUUGUUCGGAAUUACUGGGCGUAAAGGGCUCGUAGGCUGCCAACUAAGUCAGACGUGAAAUCCCUCGGCUUAACCGGGGAACUGCGUCUGAUACUGGAUGGCUUGAGAUCGGGAGAGGGAUGCGGAAUUCCAGGUGUAGCGGUGAAAUGCGUAGAUAUCUGGAGGAACACCGGUGGCGAAGGCGGCAUCCUGGACCGACACUGACGCUGAGGAGCGAAAGCCAGGGGAGCAAACGGG